Molecule: ribosomal RNA, 253 nt
Filed under: uncultured bacterium
Lineage: Bacteria
Description: partial 16S ribosomal RNA
Rfam family: Bacterial small subunit ribosomal RNA
Source: RNAcentral
UACGUAGGCAGCGAGCGUUGUUCGGAAUUACUGGGCGUAAAGAGUGUGUAGGCGGUGUUCCCAGUCUGUUGUGAAAUCUCCCGGCUUAACUGGGAGGGUGCAGCGGAAACUAGAAUGCUAGAGGGUGGGAGAGGUAAGCGGAAUUCCUGGUGUAGCGGUGAAAUGCGUAGAUAUCAGGAAGAACACCUAUGGCGAAGGCAGCUCUCUGGGACGGUACUGACGCUGAGACGCGAAAGCGUGGGGAGCGAACAGG